This 378-nucleotide ribosomal RNA is filed under the name uncultured bacterium. RNAcentral describes it as "bacterial SSU rRNA". It matches the Rfam family "Bacterial small subunit ribosomal RNA", at positions 335 to 704 of the family's 1533-position model. The record is from RNAcentral.
ACUCCUACGGGAGGCAGCAGUGGGGAAUAUUGCACAAUGGGGGAAACCCUGAUGCAGCCAUGCCGCGUGUGUGAAGAAGGCCUUCGGUUGUAAAGCACUUUCUAGUAGGGAGGAAGGUAGUGUAGUUAACACCUGCACUAUUUGUACGUUACCUACAGAAGAAGCACCGGCUAACUCCGUGCCAGCAGCCGCGGUAAGUACGGAGGGUGCGAGCGUUAAUCGGAAUUACUGGGCGUAAAGCGCAUGCAGGCGGCCUGUUAAGUCAGAUGUGAAAGCCCGGGGCUUAACCUCGGAAUUGCAUUUGAAACUGGCAGGCUAGAGUCUUGUAGAGGGGUUAGAAUUUCAGGUGUAGCGGUGAAAUGCGUAGAGAUCUGAAGG